This is a long non-coding RNA of Molossus molossus (Pallas's mastiff bat), 559 nucleotides long. RefSeq lists it as uncharacterized. The record is from RefSeq and is a predicted model, not a curated record. The transcript has 4 exons. NCBI's taxonomy places the organism in Eukaryota, Metazoa, Chordata, Mammalia, Chiroptera, Molossidae.
UGGUACAGAUUCCUAUGUACAUUACUGAAUUAAUCCAUAAAUGAACCGUAAAACAGCCUUGCCCAUGUGAUGCAAAAAAUGAAUGGAAUGAGAAAAACAAAACACUAAUGAAGGAGCCUUUGGAACAUUAACAUACUGGGGAAUGGACAGAAGGAAAGUCCAGGCCCUCGGUGUCAAGCAGAAGGAGGGUGUGGUCUGGCUUCUCAGGAUGAGGCACACACCACAUCCAGAUGCCCUUGGUGUGAGACUGCACUGUGGAGCCCAGAGAGAAGCCUGCAGGGAGAGAGGAGAUAACAGGACUUGGAUUUAUUAAUACCAGAACAGAUGCUGAAACAUCAUCUCCUGUUAACUUGAAGCUGAAAGUGAAAGUAAAGCAGGCUACUUGGAAACAGGGUAAUACUGAGAAAUCAGCUGCUGCUUCUGACCAAUAAAGCCCCUUGUUUAUUUUAGGCAACCAAAAAGUUAUUCCAGGAACAAUCAAACCUUUCUGAGAAUUGUGUGUAAUGCCAAGAUAAAUAAAAGUGAAUGCCUUAUGCUUAUAAGCUUAUAAAAGCUUAUU